AGAGUUUGAUCAUGGCUCAGAUUGAACGCUGGCGGCAGGCCUAACACAUGCAAGUCGGGCGGUAACAGGGAGAAGCUUGCUUCUCCGCUGACGAGCGGCGGACGGGUGAGUAAUGUAUGGGGAUCUGCCUGAUGGCGGGGGAUAACUACUGGAAACGGUAGCUAAUACCGCAUAAUCUCUAAGGAGCAAAGCAGGGGAACUUCGGUCCUUGCGCUAUCGGAUGAACCCAUAUGGGAUUAGCUAGUUGGUGAGGUAAUGGCUCACCAAGGCGACGAUCCCUAGCUGGUCUGAGAGGAUGAUCAGCCACACUGGGACUGAGACACGGCCCAGACUCCUACGGGAGGCAGCAGUGGGGAAUAUUGCACAAUGGGCGCAAGCCUGAUGCAGCCAUGCCGCGUGUAUGAAGAAGGCCUUAGGGUUGUAAAGUACUUUCAGUCGGGAGGAAGGUGUCAAGGUUAAUAACCUUGGCAAUUGACGUUACCGACAGAAGAAGCACCGGCUAACUCCGUGCCAGCAGCCGCGGUAAUUC
Molecule: ribosomal RNA, 529 nt
Filed under: uncultured bacterium
Lineage: Bacteria
Description: bacterial SSU rRNA
Rfam family: Bacterial small subunit ribosomal RNA
Source: RNAcentral